CCUACGGGAGGCAGCAGCUAAGAAUCUUCCGCAAUGGGCGAAAGCCUGACGGAGCGACGCCGCGUGGACGAAGAAGGCCGUAAGGUUGUAAAGUCCUUUUCUUAGCGAAGAAUAAGGUCGAGAGUGGAAUGCUCGGCUGAUGACGUUAGCUAAGGAAUAAGCCCCGGCCAAUUACGUGCCAGCAGCCGCGGUAAU
This 195-nucleotide ribosomal RNA is filed under the name uncultured bacterium. RNAcentral's name for it is "partial 16S ribosomal RNA". It matches the Rfam family "Bacterial small subunit ribosomal RNA", at positions 338 to 524 of the family's 1533-position model. The record is from RNAcentral.